GACGGACGCUGGCGGCGUGCUUAACACAUGCAAGUCGAGCGGUAAGGCCCUUUCGGGGGUACACGAGCGGCGAACGGGUGAGUAACACGUGGGUGACCUGCCCUCAGCUCUGGGAUAAGCCUGGGAAACCGGGUCUAAUACCGGAUAUGACUCCAUGACGCAUGUUGUGGGGUGGAAAGCCUUGUGCGGCUGAGGAUGGGCCCGCGGCCUAUCAGCUUGUUGGUGGGGUGANGGCCUACCAAGGCGACGACGGGUAGCCGGCCUGAGAGGGCGACCGGCCACACUGGGACUGGAGACACGGCCCAGACUCCGUACGGGAGGCAG
RNAcentral lists this ribosomal RNA (324 nucleotides) under uncultured bacterium. RNAcentral describes it as "bacterial SSU rRNA". It matches the Rfam family "Bacterial small subunit ribosomal RNA", at positions 28 to 351 of the family's 1533-position model. The record is from RNAcentral.